Molecule: long non-coding RNA, 3464 nt
Organism: Sitodiplosis mosellana (orange wheat blossom midge)
Lineage: Eukaryota; Metazoa; Arthropoda; Insecta; Diptera; Cecidomyiidae
Exons: 2
Source: RefSeq, a predicted model, not a curated record
UGAAAAUGAUAAGAGAUUUUAGUUUGGAUUUGGUCCAUUUAUACUAGCCUCCAUUGUGCAUGGGGCUGCACAUGGCCAGCAGCGAUCACAAUCGCCGUCUAACUUACAUUUAACCAUUUCGAUAUUGGUUAAAUUUUUGGUAGUGUAACAGCAAUCGGUUGUAAGUGGUCUUGGACCACAGUUGGACCAACAAUUGCCCAUUAUGCAGACGGAAUGGAAAUUUUUGCAGUCUAAUCCAGCGCGAAUGAGGUCUUGCUGACGGUUAUUUACCAAAUGAUGCUCGACGACUGCUGUUGUUACACCAGCGGCACCCAUUGCAGCACCCCAACCAAGGAAUUUGCCUACGACUGGUAAUAUUGAUGAUACAAUGGGCCAAACUCUCUUAUUUCGUUUUUUCUCUUUCGGAUUUGAAAACGCAAUUAAAUUUUCCAUUCCGUUGAUCUCUUUUUUAUCUAAAGUUGAAUCAAAUGUUGUCGAUCGGGGAUUUCUCACGUUAGACCGUAGGGAAGAUGGUUUGCGACGGAUUCUUGAUUGUUCUGGAGCUUUUGUCGUCGUGAUUGUCGUUGACUUUCCGUAAAUUCUAUCCAUGAUAUUUCUCCAUCGGUCUGCGUACGUUAUAUACGCAUAUAAAAUUUCACUUUCUUUACACCGUGACCGAGCACUUUAUACGCUAUACUGAUGUUUCUCCUAUCGCGAACCGAAACACUUUCUUCUUCAGCUUGACUGCUGGUUUUAACUGAGAAGAGGAGGACUAAAAGUCAACACAACACAACGAUUUUACUGCAACUUUUCAUUUUUUUUGUUCAAACAACUUUUUUUAAUUUAUAAUCUAUGCUUAUAAAAUUAAACGGUCGAAGAAAUCAACGAUGUUUUUAGUUCAUCGGUUGAAGAUCGGUGUGCUAGCUUGAUGUUUUGGUGCACAUUCGCAAAGAACUAAAUCGUUUUAUAAAAAAUAUUUUUCAUCAUACUGUUGUUUCAGAUCGUCUUCGUCUGCUGCGCACGACAAGAAAGUAUUCAAUAUAUAUACAUAGUAGUAUAGAUAUGGCGGUUUCAUCAUAACCGGUUUUUGCUCCACCCAAAACUAGUUUUAACCACACCCAAAACCACUUUCACUCACACCACACCCUAUUGAAGCUGGUGAAAGUGUGAAUAAAACACAGAGUUUCUUUUUUAGGUUUUGGAGUCCGGAAAUUUAUCAGAGUCGUGAAUUCUUUUUCACGCGCGACAAAAAUGGGAUCCCCUGAGUUGUUGGGAUUUGGAUCCAAUGCACAAUAAGGAUCGGUUGGCUUGAUAUGCACUUCUAUAUUUCGUGUCCGAUAAUAGUUCAACUUUUCGUGGAAUUCGCAGUUGUACGGGAAUGAAUCUGACAUUUGAUCACUGAUACAUAUGAUCUCUUUCGCGGCACACACCCUGAAGAGAUUGGUUUGAGUCCAGAGAAAGAACACUGAAAUACGAUCUCUUUCGCGCCAACAGAAGCUAUAUUUUUUUAUUAUUACACACUUCACAUAAUCUUUGAAUUGUGGCAUAGUUUCUGCCUCUAAUUUACAGUCAAUCAAAUUGUUGCCAUUUUGUCCUGUAACGGCAGCAGUUAAAACUACUAUAAGAAAUAAAGAAACACUAUAUUUCGAACACAUCUUAUCAUAAUUUAGAAAGAAUGGUAUAAGGCUGAGGACUGAAUAGCUUCUUCUUCAGAUAGAGCAAUCAUUGGUUUUUUUUUUCAUCCAAAAACUCUAAAAUAUUCAUCGCUAUGUCCGUUGAUUCAUCCAUAAACCAUUCAAGACAAUUUGCACCACGAUAAUAAUAUCUUGAUGUUGAUUCAUCGUUUUCAUUCUUAAAAUAAUAGAAUAUAAAUUUCUAUAAAAAAAAAUUAUAAUUUUUGAACGUUUCAAAGUUGUUGCCAACAGAUGGCAUUUCUAUUGCACAUUCGUUCAUUUUUUCACAAGUUUUUUUAUGUCCGUUUAAUUCUUCAUCCGAAUAGAAAUAAUUUAAACAACGAUCACAAAUUGAUAUUUUAUGUUCGUGUUUGGUUAACUAAGCGCGCACUAAUUGAUUUAAGUUUUUAAUCCAGCAAUAAUGCGAAUGCACAUUCACUUCACUUGCUUCUUUGCUAUGCAUCGGUGUUUGUUCUGUUAGCAAAAGCAGAUGAAUGUAUUGCUUUUCAACUGGUUUCAUCGCCAUAUCUAUACUACUUACAUCAAUUACUCCAAGAUCACACCAAGAUAUGCCCUUCAAACGCCAUGAAUUGUUUGAAUAUCGCUCGAUGAAAGUGUCGAUGCCUAUUAUUCUCAUUUCAUCUCAUACUUAAGAAGUUGAUAGAGUUGGACAACAUAUUCGUAGUCGCACAAAGUGUCACUCCAAAUGUCGUUGAAAUUCUCGUAUUGAUAUUUAAUUUCGUCCAUCCAGUGUUUCACAAGAACUUUUCUCCCAUCAAAUUCACAGUUGUUACUUAUUUUUUCUUUCAUAUACGCACAAGCUUGCUCCAUGGUGAAAAUCAGAAAACGUCUGUUUUUUUCAAAAUUAAAUUAUGAACUAGUAGUAUAGAUAUGGCCCGUUUCGCGGUAACCGGUUUUUGCUCCUCCCAAAACCGGUCAAAAAACAUGUUUUGUCAACGCCCAAAACAACUUUCAUUUAUUCAAAUGAGUUGACAACCAAAACAACUUUCACUAAUGUGCACAUCUGUUUCAACCCAUAGCGAUGGCCAUAUAAAUCCUGCUCGGGAUGGUGUAUUUGCACGCAUAAGAAAUGUGUUAUUUCUUUAUGGAUCUGCUGCUGCAAUUGGAACUGCUAAUGGCGCUAGUGGAAGUGUAAUAAAUAAACAUUUUAUGCAAAACAAUAUCACCGAAACACCAUCGUUCUCACAGUUAAAUUGAAGAAUUAACACUGUGAUUUUACCUGAGUCCCCGUCAGAGCUAAAAGCAGCUCCUCCUUCAAUAUGAAUACAAAUUACAUUAUUCUCAUCGCAAGGUACAACUUCUGCACUAAGCAUAGUGAUUCUGUGCUGGAAAGAUUUCCAAGAAUAUCUACGCCUUCUAUCAAGGCCAACAGCCGUUAAACGUGUUGCCCGAUUUAAAAAAUUCAAACCCAGAUGCACAAAUAAAGGGACUUCAACUGUAAUGACACUUAUAUCAUGUUGAGCAUUCUUUUCACCGAGAAUGUACUUGUAAUGGGAUUCUACAUUAUCUACGGUUAUUGUUUCAGUCUUGCCAUUUGUAAAUUCUAUGGUGGCUUUUUCGAAAUCCUCAAAGCAAUGUGCUGAAGAUAAAAUCUGAAAAAAUCGUUUUCAUUAUUUUAUAAAUAUAAGGAAGACAGUCGAUUAUUGUUUAAUGCUUACGUAAUUGCGCGAGAUAACAAAGCCUGAGCAUUUUUCUCCAUGAUAUAGCCAAGUUUCGUCUAAAAAAUAACAAAAAUUGUCAUUAUUAAUAAGUUAUUUUUGAGGAAAAAUAAAUGGGGCAUUUCAUAUGAAU